AUAGAUUAUUUACUGGGGUUAGAAAAAUCUUCUAUCUCUCGACAUUCUAUCUUCAUUAUCUCUUCGGCUUCUUCUCUUUCUCAAGAAACUGUACACCUAUGAAACAGAGAUGGCUAGGUUACAUGGAAAUAUAAGAAACACAACAAACCACAGAUCUCAAACAAAAAGAUUAGGAACAUGGGGGAAGAACACGAAGGAGGCUACGCCUCGACCUCCGAUGAGCACCGACGGGAAGGAGAUUCAGUUAUCCGGGUCAUCACUACGGUGGCGUGUCCAUGCCAGCCGAUAGAACUGUCGCCGGUGUACCUUCAAAGCACCGCCGUCUCGGAAGCACUGCCGAUAGAAAUCCCAGAGGCAGCCCCUUCGACCGACGAGCCAUCACUUGGUUAGUGCUCAUGUCGUUAUUACUGUAGGAUGGUGGAGAGGUGGAGAUUUCUGGAUCUCCUACAGAGAAGGCUAUUCUGUCUUGGGCGUAUAAGUUUGAUACUAUCAGGUCGGAGUCUGCUAUCAUCCAUGCUUUCCCUUUCAAUUCUGGGAAAAAGCGCGGAGGUGUUGCUGUUCUUAGAGGUGAUUCUGAAGUUUUCAUUCAUUGGAAGGAGCGGCGGAGAUAGUUCUGGCUUGCUGUACACAAUACAUGGACUCAAAUGGUACUCUGCAGCCCACUUGAUAGCCAGAAGGAGUUUUUCAGACUUGCUAUUGAUGCCAUGGCGAAAAAUAGCCUGCGGUGUGUGGCUAUUGCAUGCAGAACACAAGAGCUGAACAAAGUUCCCAAGGAACAGGAGGACUUGGAUAAAUGGUCUUUACUUGAAGAUGAGUUGACUUUGCUUGCUAUCGUUGGUAUAAAGGAUCCUUGUCGUCCUGGUGUCAGAGAAGCAGUGAGAACUUGCACCAGUGCUGGUGUUAAGGUAGAUCCCACCAAGACCCCCGAGGCUCUCCUAUGGAUCCAAAAACGGUAUCGGAAGAGGGAGAAGAGAAGCACCACUGAAAUGUCACCGGACGCCAACUACUCUGUCAGUAAGCUCAGACGCUGAAGGAGGGGUGGGUGGGAGCCGGCCUGACUGUCCGGAAUGGCUCCACCUGAUGCGAUCUCGAAAAGUUGGGAGAGAAAGAGGGGCGCAUGGUAAGCAACUUUUCUUCUCUUUCUCACUCUCCGUUGAAUGUUGCAAUGAAUUUUCAGUUCAGAUUUAAGUCAAUAAAUCCCACGAACUCUCUGUCUCCCUUGCUCUACAAUAGCCUGAUGCGUAUGAAAACCGAGGAACACCUCUAACCCUACAAAUAAAAGGGGGCUAAGACUGGAAUCAAGCUUCACAAACACGCUCUUUGAGUUUAUCUUCACUCGAAACCUAGAGCCCUUCUUCGGACAUAUCAUCCUCCGAUGCUAUUGUUGCCCCAUCAGCCGUCAGCCACUCAAAACUUUGAAGCUCUCCCACAUGCGACUUCCCAAUUCAUUGUUUUCCAUACAUAUAUUUUGUCAGGCAACACUCUUGCUUGUACAGGUAACCUCUAUCUGACCUCCACACCAUCUACCAAAUUUUACUAUGACACCAACAUUCCUGCCAUCAAAGAGUUCACAAGCAGCUUGGGAGAUGCAGCAUCAGAGGUAAUGUGUUGAUACCAUGGAAGAGAUCAAAAAGAAAGAGCUUGUGUAAAUUGGAGAUAUAAACACGCUAAUCUUCAACUCUAACGAGCAGGUUAAUGAUUAUCGGACGUCAUUGUUCUACUACAUAUCCGGUGAAAAAGAGAAGAAAAUAAUAUUCAUUGAGCUUCACUAGCUCAAGUCCUUAUUGGCUUCCUUACUUUUUGUUGUAUCUUAACAAGAUUAAUUUGCAGUUAAACUAUCAACAGAAUUGAGUGCC
Molecule: long non-coding RNA, 1856 nt
Organism: Brassica oleracea var. oleracea
Lineage: Eukaryota; Viridiplantae; Streptophyta; Magnoliopsida; Brassicales; Brassicaceae
Exons: 7
Source: RefSeq, a predicted model, not a curated record